AGUUAAGCUGUACUACAUCUAAUGGAUAACUACUUCAGUCUGACAUGCUAUUUUGGAGCAGACAUCAUGCAAACUCAUGAACAAGAAGGACCCUAACAGUGUUUAUCAUUUUGCAAACACAGAACAAAAAGUUGAUCCUAUGUCAGUUAACGGUCUCUCUGCCACAAACAAAAAAAAUGAGGGCUCGUGUGGGAUGAUUUCUGCCAAGAGAGAGCCUGUCUCCCUGGAAUAUGUUUUCAUGAGAAGAAUAGUGGCCAGCUUAAACUGAGGCAAUAGAUGAAACCAGAUAACAUCUCAGAAGAGAAAUAUAAUACUUUACUGGAUGGAGUCCUGAUGCAGAACUGAAAGAAAAGGAAGUAGGAAGGAAAUUAAGAUCCCAAAGAUGUAUUCUUGGCCAGCAUUCUUCUCUUUGGACUGAUCUGCAUGACCUGAACCUUGGGAACGUUAUACUCUGGGAUAAAAAUGUUAUUCUCCUCUAAUAAACAACAAAAGGUUGCAAGGCAAAGACAUUUGAUGACUUAACAUCUAAGCUGCUCCUCAUCCCAGAAUAAAGAGAAGCAGGAAUUUUGACAGCUCCACUCCCUGUCAAAUUUCUAUGCAUCAACAUGCUCCACAAUAUUGAAGAAGUUUAAUUAGAUGGUUUCUGAUUCUAUUUUACAGCAUUCCACUGAAUCACAGAUAAACACGUUGUUAUCAUACUCCAUGUUCUUGGAGAAAAAGUAGACUGAUGAAUUGGAGAAAAAAAAACAACUCUGGUAUACAAUUUGAUGAAAGCUAUAUAUUCAACCCCUACAGUUCUGUUAUUAUGUGAUUCUGUAAUUUUGCUCUUAAAGAUACCUAAUCUUUGUGGUGGGGCUGGAAGGCCCUAUGGAUAUUAUCAGACAUGCUAUCUCCCUAGUAUGAUGAUAGUGUGUGUGACACAUGCUGAUCUGUGAGCAAUACAACCAGUGCGCAACAGAUCUGCCCAGUACAUGCCUUUGGCCAAUACCCAAAACUCUUCAGCAUGACAGUGACAGAGGCUGGAAACAAGUUGCAAGAGCCAGUGCAAAAGAAUGUGGCCAGUUCCCAACAGCUGUCAUUUCCAGGAGCCCCAUGAUUGUGUCCUGGUCAGUCUGCCAACUUCCCACAGCCAGACCUGCAACAUGAGAGAAAGGGUCUGGUGGCUUCCCAGGAAAAAGUAUUGCUAUUAGUAUUUCAUGGGUUCCAGCAAUUAUUCUGCAGAUCUACAAAGACUCCAAGCAGUAUUUUAAGCAAAAAAAGUCAUGCAUUACUUUUGAUUUUUUCAAAUUUUAGGCAGCUGGAUUCCAUUUUCCAAUGAACCACUAAACUAAAAAAUCAAUCUGUUCUUAUUUCAUAGGACAAUAUUUAUUUGCACCAAAUAGUCAACACAGUACAAAGGAUUCUCUGCUGAGCUUAUGUCACAUACCAGGUAUACAUCUUACAUCUGAUAAAAAGAAUACCCCAUCGCUAUACAAGAAACCAUGUUAAUAAUGAGACCAGCUCAAUACCAACUGCUAACAAGUUUCAUGCCACUCAGUCUAGUCAAAGAAGUGAAAUCUAGACAGCACAACAUUGCUCUAUAAGCAGUGCCCAAGUCUAACUGGUGCAGAAUUUAUUAGAGUUUCUCUGUGCUGCCGUUUUAGAAAUCUUUUUUUUUUAUUAUUGUCUUGAUUUUUUUGAGGAACAUAUUACAGUAAAAUUAAUCAAGCUAUACUGACUAUCUAUGGAUAAAUUUAAUUGUUUGUGUGCUAGAGAAUAAGAGAAAGGACUUCAUCUCACAAAUAGAAAGUAGGCUGUGUUUUCACACAUUAGUCCCAGUGUGCACCAGAAUGAACAACCUGCAGUCAGCUCAUACAGACAGUUUCGCUUUCUUCUCUUCUAUAAGAAUUGUUCUUAUGGAAUGAGUUUCUUCUUUUGUCUUAUGCUGGGGUCUGUUCCUCACCAAGGGCUAUUCAUUUGAGCACACAUGAAGCCACACCAGAAGAACUUAUUUUCUAAGAAGUGGAAACAGUAGUGGGGCAUCUUCUCCUUUCCUCAAGCACGUCCCAACUCCUCAUCAGCUCUCCCAGGAACUUCUAGAGAUGCUAUUAUUAAAACAAUUUCAACUCUCUUUCCAGGGCACGCACUUUGCAGAGGCCUGUCCCUGUUACCUUGUGACUGAGAUAUUAAACUGUUUAUGAUUAGACUUCACACUACCAACAUUCCUAGAAACGCCCAUAUUCUCUGUGGAAGUCUACAUGUGCACAAUCGCAGUAUCACUGGCUUGUUUAAGCUCAUUUCCUUAAGGCUUUCCUCUAGGCAAAGAAGCGUGACCUUCCUGUCUUCUCCUGGUGAGACAAGAGUAUGACCAGAUUUAACAGCUGGGAAAUGUUGCUUUUUCUGUGAUACAGAUACAGUCUGUAGAACUGAGUGCCACCUUUGAAAGUUUUAUGCUUCCCAUGCAGAGGUUGCUGCAUAUGCAUGAGUAGCUGCCAGGCAUUUGAAAACCUGUGCAGUUAUUCUUUACUUCUACAUACACUGAAACACUCAUAACACUCUAGCAGUAAGAAAUCAAAAUAUUUCAAUCUCUUGCCUUCAAGACUCCAGUUUCUCACUUCCCAUACAUAUUUCUAAAUACAUUUGUUACUUAAGCAUCUAAAAUGAACACUCCUCAGUAUUCACAAGUAUCAUAUUAAGAUCCCUUGACAUUUGACUUAAUUUUAAGAUGUAAUACACAAGUUUUUUGACAAUUAACUUCAAAAGAUAUUACUGUAAAUCCAGUACAACUUGGUUGUUUGAACAAUUAUCCUGAAUAGCACCGAUUUCCACUUAUUUAAACAAAAGCAUUGUUCCUUCCACUGGAAGAUCAUAAGGAGUUCAAAUACAUUUCACACACCUACACACACCUCCUGUCCUCUAUUGAUGCUUUAUUUUCUCUAAGGAAAAACAUUAUCAUUUGAACCAAGUUGUUUUCCAAGCAGUAUUACUCUUUAACUCACUAGGAAAGUACACAGAAAUUGCUUUCUAAGCACUUGAAAAAAAAUUAUCAUUUCAAUGAAAGAAGGCAUAAUUAGUCAACUUUUUAUUACAAAUACAGACUGUGUUGUGUUGCCCAGACAGAAUUUCAGGAUAGCCUCCCUGCUUAACUCUGAUUUCUGCACCACAUUUUUUCCCUUCCUUUGAAGGUGAAGCUGAAGAAAGCAUGAGAUCUCCUGCCAGUGGGAAUCUCUGUUCCCAUCAGGAAAGAGGUCACAGACUACAGCUGUGGAUGCACAUAUUUCUCUUUCAGAAAUACUUCUUAAGUAUUCUUUUUUCUGCUUGCUUUUUCGUUGUUGAUGUUGUUGUUGUCUAUUUAAACAUGGGGAGCAAUGUACUUAAAAGUCAAGAAAGAAACAGUUGAAUCACCAUAAGUUUUACUUACUAGCACCUACAGCAUUUGUCUCAUUUUCUUGAUGUCUGCUAGAGGCACCCUUCAGAACCACCAAACACUAAACCACAAAUUCAAAGUGAGUUGCUUAAGUAAACAGAAUUGAUCAAAGGAAUGAACUCCCUGACAGUGAUAUCAGUGGAGUUUGUGUCUGGAAAAUUGUAUUUCAGGGCCAAAGGGAUUCAUAUUUAUUUUAGAUUCCUGCUGUAGAUUUGGAAUUUUGUGCUGUGAGGUCUCUCACUCAUUUUUUUCUGUUCCUCCGAGAACCGGAUAGUGGGUCAGGAAAAAAAUUGAAAGUAUGUACUAAUUAUGCAGCAUAUUGAAAGACGCCCUUUUAACUUUCUACUAUAAACAAGACAACAAACAAAGCUAUUGACAUUAUUCACUUCUAGAAAGAAAAUUAUAAUGUCUGUGAUUAGUACACAUAAACUUUUUCUAAAGUUGUAUUUUAAAUGCAUAAAGGUUACAGCAAUAUAUAAUGAGAGAAUAAUUCUAUCACAUUCCUUUUUUGAGAAUGCUUACAAACAAUCCUAAAAAGAAAAUGCAAGUAUUUGCAUAUGGUAAGACAUUUACUAUCAAGAAUCUGAUCACAAUGUCCUUCUGCUAGUUUUAGGAAACUAGCAAUCUUAAACUCAAGCUAUAAAUUACAGUGACUGCUGGCAUUUCAUAAAAGUGUUUGCUUGUAAGCAUAACUGUUUUGGUUUUGUCUAUUGGGUUAUCACAAGAAAUGAGCUCUAGUUCCUCUAAACAAAAGCUAUUUGAAAGAAAAAUAUCCAUUUUCAGAUUGAAAACCUUUAAAGAAAAGUGGAACACAUACAGUAUAAUUUUUAAUCUUUUAUUUGAAUGUCUGAAUUUUUAUGACCUAAGUAAGCCUGAUACUUAGAGUUUUACUGACAAAAAUUCCUUUUAGUCAGUUUAGUGUGCAAUACAAGAAAAAUUAGCUAGAAUCUCAAAAUAAAUGUUUUUACUAUCUUCAUUCAGCUCUUAUCUAAAGCAAAGAGAAAAAUCUUCAUUGAUUUUAUUACAUUCUGAAUACAAGCCAGCAGAUAAGACUCUAAAAUAACUGAUUCAUAAAACGUCAAAACAAAGUCCUAGGGAUGAUUCACAUUCUCACAACCGUACUCCUAAAUAUGGUGAAGUUUCUUGUUUCCUCUGUGUAUUCUUAUCUUACUCUGACCUAAAAAAGUGGAAUCCAGUAAAGAUGAAAAGGUCCUUUUGUAAUUUAUACACUAACUUGACUUUCUGCCAGCUUCAUGGACUAAUACACUCACUGGUAAAGUAAAAGAAAAAAAAAGGAGUUAAGUUCUCUUAAUUUUUUUGUUACAACUUAAUUCCAUAGGAAUCCUCCUGUACUCUCACAAGUGGGACAUGUAUGAAGGGAUUAAAUAGCCUUCCUUCAUUCCUAGAAUUCUUAAAUCUUCAGGUAUGUUCUAAACAGAAAAAAAUUAAGUACAAUUAAGUUCAUAUACGCUUUGUCUUCCUAAAAUAUGUAACUUACUUUUUCCCAGUGAGGUGCUUUACAUUCUUAGAUGUACUUGAAAUGUCUAACUUUGUGUGGCAAACUAUAGAAAUAGAUUUUUUUAAGUAAUAGAUUUUGUUAAUACUUUUUUCUUUCUUUCAGUGAUUUAUUUAAAGCAGCUGAAAGAUAAAGAAGUGGUUUUGCAGUAAUGAAAAUCCCAGCUCUUCUAGCACUUGUGUCUUGGCUCAAUAGUUGCUGAUUUGCUCCAAAAUAUAUUACAUAAUAAAAUGGAAUUUCCAGACAGAAGCCAGUACUUUAUAGCUUGAUAUAUAUCAGAGGGACCUCUUCUACACUUUGGCUGCUAAUUAUAUGCUAUUGGUUCUUGACAGAAAUGCCUUCUGGGUUACAUUUAUUUUUUGUUCCCCUGAAGCCAUUUAGAGGAGAUUCCAUAGCAUACUUCCAGCUGCCAACGCAAAAUCUAUCUUUCAGUUGAGCAAAGUGAGAAUUUCUAAUAGCAGUUAAAUUCAGACUACAGAACUGUAUUUUUUGGUUUUUUGUUUUACACUUUUCUCUAAAGUUGGCAAUUUGAGGAUUAAAAGAUUUUUAUGAGGAGGGCAUACACGAGAAAUAGCAGAAGUAGCAUGUUUAGCAGCCACAUCAACUUUUGGAGAGCUAAUGGUGGAGUUGGUGAGAAUCAUCAUUUCUGAGGAACUCUGGAAAGAAGUUGUAGUAUUCAGACUUAAAUAUUGGAUCCAUAUGAAAUUCAAGAUUAUAAAUUAAUGAUCUACAAAGAGUUGGUAGAACUUAAAAUGCUUAUUGAAUGCAUCAAGAAAUUCAUGGGAGAAAGCAGGGGGUAACAUGAUUUUAUUUAAAAUGAAAAAAGCAAUGGAGUUUUCAACAGUUGUAUUGAUUAUAGAAAUUAACACUGUUUUCAAAAUCUCAGUGAACAGUUUCAUAAACAUGAGAAAACUGGAAUGGUUUGUGUGCCAGCACAAACCAUUACAUGGUGAUCUAAAGAUCGUAUGAAAUAUGUAAGUAAAAAUAAGGUAGGCUGAACAUAGUCUAGUGAAAUCACAGAUGUUCCAAACUGAGCAAGACUGAUUCAUAAACCUGGGUAAUCAGGUUACCAUAAGGAUAGAAAAACGGAAAUAAUUCCACUACAAAUGUUCUAGUUCAGUGCAUAGUAACAGUUAUCAAAAAAUGCGAUGUAUAAUAUAAACCUAGACUACUACAUAAAAUAAAAUUGAAUACUCUACACUACCAGCCUUUAAAGCUAUUUUUCCAUAAUAACAUGGUGUUACAAGUAGUUUGAAGAAAAAAAUUUAAGCAGAAAAAAAUGUCUCAGACAUCAACAUUAACAAAAAGGAAAUUAUUCUUCAAUCUCAUCAAAAUUGAAAACUUCCCAAAGAAAUUGUGACCUUUUGAUUUAAAACUGUACACAAAUAUGACUCAACUUUUCUCAAAAACGACACAAUAUAUAUUUUUUAAAGAUCUUUUUAAAAACCAAAAUAUUUUUUUCAACUGUAAGAAUAACUAAGAGCUUUCUCUUACCUAAAAAGUAAGAAAAACAACAAAAAAAUCACAAUAGAAACAAAAAAUGUCCAAGAAAUACAGAAGCUUCUCAAGAAAUAGAUUUUGAUAAUUCACAUACAAAAAAAGCUUCUUUCUUCUACAAUGAACUUUUCAAAAAGGCAAUUAAAUGGAAACUUAAUAGUAAUAAAAGCAAAGACUAUUUUACUAAAUUAUUAACUAUAUCAUAAAUGAAAAAGUUGCUUAGAAAGAUGUAAAUAAUAAUUUGUUCGCAAGUUUUCAUCAAGUAGCUACACCUACAUAAAUGUUAACAUACCUAGUGAAAAGAUUAAGUGAUAUGCACAUGACAGAAAAAAAAAGCCAAGGUAUCUACAUCCGUGACAGGAACAAAGCAGUAUUGGGUGGAAGAAAAAUGUGAAUGCUAAUGUUUUAAUGUUUUAAAUGGCUACCUUACAUUGCCAGAAUAUCAUAUAUGUUUUUGCCUUCAUAUGCCAAACUUUUAUGAAAUCUCUCAACUUUACUAUUUUUUAGAAGCAGAAUCGCGUUUUCAUGGUUUCAGUACAUAUACUGAGAUAAAGACCUUCUUUCCUAUUAGAUCUAAAUUUAGAGGAAAAUACAGAAAGUGUAAUAGUGUAAUUUUUAUUAUUAGGAUAACUGUUUUUCCUUGUUUACAUUUCCUUCACGAAAUGAAGCUGUUCCUUCUCUUAUCCUCUGAAGUUAUCAAAAAAUCUUGCUUACAAGACCUGUGACUUGGGAGAUAUGCUCUGUGAUUAUGACAAAACAACAUUCCCUUGCUACAGUCAUGAAGUUAUGGCGUGGUUUCACUAUGCAGUAUGUGUUUCUCGAAACGAACAUUUUUAAGGAUAAGGGGGAGGAACAACAAGGUGGACAUUCUUGUGAGAGUUUGUUAUAGACUGCCUAACCAGGAUGAAGAGACAGAUGAGGCAUUCUAAACACAGGAGUUGCAUGAUUGCCAGCCCUUGUUCUCGUUGGGCACCUCCUUACAAGAGGGGAUUGGCUGUUCACAAACAAGGAAGGACUGGUGGGAAAUGUGGAGGUUGGAGGCUGUCUUGGAUAGAAUGACCAUGAAAUGGUAGAGUUCUCAAUUCUUGGUGAAGCUGGGGAGGGGGGAGAGGGGUGCAAAACUGCUGCCUUGGACUUCUGGUGUGUGGACUUCCAACUGUUCAGGACACUGGUAGGGAGAGUCCCUUGGAAUCCAGUCCUGAAGGAUAAAGGAGACCAUGAAGGCUGUACACUCCUCAAGAAGGAAGUCUUAAAGGCACAGGAGCAGGCUACCCCCCUGUGCUGUGAAAUGAACUGGCAGGGAAGUAGACCAGCAUGGAUGAACAGGGAGGCUUCGCGAGAAAACAAGAAUUUAGCUCCUGUGGAAGAAGGGACAGAGGAGAGUACAAAGAAGCUGUCAGGGUGUGCAGGAAGAAAAACAGGAAGGCGAAAGUCCAGCUUGAAUUUAACUUUGCCACUGGGGUAAAAGAGAACAAAAAACUUUUUUACGAACACAUUAAAAGUACGAGAAAGGCUAAGGAGAAUGCCCAUCUUUUACCAGAUGCAGCAGGGAACAUGACUACUGAGGAUAAGCAAAAGGCUGAGGUUCUCGAUGCCUUCUUUAUAUCUGUCUUUAAAAGUCAGACCAGUUAUCUUCUAUCUCCAGACCUGGAAGUCUCAGAUAGGGAGCAGAAUAAACCUCCCAUUAUUCAGUGGAAACAGUUAGAGACCUACUACUCCAUCUGGUCUGCCCCAAAUCCAUGAGGCCAGAUGGGAUCCAUCCAAGGGUGCUGAGGGAGCUGGUGCAGGUGACAGCCAAGUCACUUUCCACCAUCUAUCAGCAUUUCUGGUCCACAAGAGAGGUCCCAGAAGAUAAGAGGCUUGCCGAUGUGACUCCUAUCUACAAGAAGGAUCAUAAGUAGUACCUAGGAAACUAUGGGCUUAUCAGCCUGACCUUGGCACCAAGUAAGGUUAUGCAGCAGAUCACAUUGAGGGAGGUCACACAGCAUUUGCAGGACAACCAGCAGAUCAGGCCUAGCCAGCAUGGGUUCAUGAAAGGCAGGUCCUGCUCGACCAACCUGAUCUCCUUCUAUGAUUGAGUGAUCCACUUGGUGGAUGAGAGUUAGGCCUUCAACCCUAUCUCCCAUACUGUCCUCCUGAAGAAGCUGCCAGUCCAUGGCCUGGAAGGAUACACUCUUUGCUGGGUAAAGAAUAGGCUGAAUGGCUAGGUCUGGAGAGUAGUAGCAAAUGGAAUCAUAUCCACCUAGAAACUCAUCAUGAGUAGUUUCCACCGGGGUUGGUACUGGGGCUUGUUCUGUUCAGAAUCUUUAUUGAUGACCUGGAUGAGGGCAUUGAGUGCACCCUCAGUAAGUUUGCAGAUGACACCAAGUUGGCAGGAAGCAUCCAGCACCUAGGGGUAGGAAAGCCCUACAGAGCGAUCUGGACAGGCUGGAUAGCUGGGCUAAGGCCAAUGGGAUGAAGUCCAGCAAGUCCAAGUGUCAGGUUCUCACUUUGGCCACAACCCCAGGCAGUACUACAUGCUUGGGGCAGAGUGGCUGGAAUACUAUUGGCUCUUAGCUGAACAUAAGCCAGCAGUGUGCCCAGGUGGCCAGGAAGGGCAAUGACAUCCUGGCUUAUAACAGGAAUAGUGUUGCCAGCAGGCCCAGGGAAGUGAUUGUUCCCCUGUACUCAGCCCAGAUGAGGCCACGUGUUGAGUACUGAGUUCAGUUUUGGGCCCCUCACUACAGGAAGACAUUGAAGCCCUGGAGUGUGUCCAGAGAAGGACAGUGAAGCUGAUGAGGGUCUGGAGCACAAGUCCUAUGAGAAGCAGCUGGGUGAACUAGGACUAAAUAGUCUGGAGAAUUGGAGGCUCAGAAGGUGACCUUAUCACUCUCUACAACUACCUGAGAAGAGGUUGUGGUGAGGUGGGAGCCAGCCUCUUCUCCCAUGUGACUAGCAAUAAAACUGGACAGAAUGGCCUCAAGUUGCGCCAGGGGAGAUUCAAGUUGGAUGUUAUGAAAUACUUCUUCUCCAAGAGCACAGUCAGGCACUGGAAUGGACUGCCCAGAAAAGCAGUGGAGUCACCAACCCCAAGGCAUUCAAGAAAUGUUUAGAUGUUGUACCGAGGAAUGUGGUUUAGUUGGAAAUAUUGGUGAUAGGUGGACAGUUGGACUGGAUGAUCUUGGGGAUCUUUUCCAACCUUGGUGAUUCUAUGAUUAUUCUUACUGUAAAUACGCAUGUAGUAUGUUGGGUUAUAAAUUAUUAAGAAAUGUCUAAUACAUCUUAUAGUUAACUGGAUAAUUUUCUGAAAACAGUAGUUCACUCAAUAUUGAGAUGUGGACAAAAAGACAAGUUAAAAAUGAAUAGGAGUAAAGUAACAUACACAAAAAAGAAAAUAAUUUACACUGACUAGAUCCUUAGCACGUACAUCUUCUGAACACAUAAUGGGUGAUCACCUUUCACAAGAGAAUGUUUCAGUAUGACACUAUGUAAAUAGAAGAUUACCAAAUUAAACAAAAUUAUAGAAUGGAUAAAGAAAGAUAAGGCUGUUUAGCUCCAAUACAAGUUGCUCUAGACAAGAUAAUAGGGAAAAUGGCCAGGAAUUUUUUUUUCUUUCUUAUUUUUCAAAAAUUAACAACCUGACAGUAAUCUGAAGACACUGAGUGAUUUAAAAUUAAAAAGAAGAAACACGCUUUCGUAUAUUGCAUAUCAAAGUCAUAUCACUCAUAGCCACAUUAUUUUCAAUUCUAAAGAUAUUAACAAAUAAGAAACAAAACAGUUAAGCAAACUGGUGUAGAAUAGAUGUGUAAAUAGCUCUCAGACAUGAUGGUACAGAUGUUUCCACUUCAGAAUUCUACUAGAAUCUACAAGAUUCUACUAGAUCUACUAGAUCUUCAGAAGACAGGACAGCACAGUGGGAAAGCCUUACACUCCUGUAAACUUCCUCUCCUGACCACUUUCUGGGACAGGAUUCUGGGUUAGAUGGAUCUUGAAUCUAACUCGAUGCAGCCAUAUUUAUUUUGUUUAACUGCUUGUGAAUGCUACAGAAGCAUGCUAGAGCUUUCUAAAGGUGUUAGAAAAUGAAUUUGCAUGAUCUAACUGCUUCAGUGAUCAUACGGUAUUUAGAUUGUAAGACUAACUUGAAUUGUUCUGCCUCUGGCCAUUACAUUCUCCCUCAAUAGACAGGAAAUCUUCUCUAGUUUCUGAGUAGGCAGAAGUGUCCUGGAAGGGGAUAGAGCUUCAGAAUGGAAAAAACUGAGAAUUAUCAAUUCAAUCAGUUUCCUGUCUUUCAGGAGCCUCAUGCCUUAUCGCAUAAUGAAAUAUAAACACAAACUCUGUUUUCCUGAAGUAUUUUCAGUUUGGUUCAUAGUAAAACACUAUGAUACUUUAAAAAAAAAAAUCCAAUUAAAUUAGCACAUUACUUUAAAAGUAAAUUUUAUGCCAGUGAUGAUAAUGGAUCCAAAGUGUGUGCUAGUCAUUUUUUUUUCCAUGAUGUUAUUUAAAAGAACUAUUAGCAAGGUGACCCACCACUUGUUUUAACCAAGUCCAAUGUGUAAGUCUGACGUGCUGUGAUUUCUCAGUGUCUUGAACUUACAGCCUAUGACCUGUUCUCUCCCAUCUCACACAUUGUUCUUUCUGCUCCAGGAGACAACUGAGAUCAUCAGAAUACCUACAGAGAGCCUCUAAGAAAAGUUCUGCUAGCUGCCUGGGAUACGGGGGCAUUGCUAACAGGUGUCCAAACAAUUCAUGUAGCCAGGCUACUGGAUAAUGGAAGAAGAAUUGGUUUAGCAAUGUAAUAAAAAUUCAGGGACCACUUGGGUCAGGAACCAGCAACAAUAUUUUUCAGAUGAUUUCUCAUGGGAGAAAGAUUAUUUGAUCGCACUAGAUAUCUAGGUUCAUCAGAUGGGUUUUACUUAAUUGCUUCUGUCCCUGGGAACGAUGACAAAAAGUUUUUAAAUGUAGCUGCAGAAGGCAAAGCAUUAACAGUACAUACAGAAAUUGCUACAGGCAGAGGAAGAAGGUGGUUCUCAGUAGCAGGAUCAAGAGUAUCUGUUUUCUGAAACCUGAGCUUAAGUAAAUGACAUGGACUUUUGGUAGCCUUAAUUCCCAGCAGUCCACCCUGAGAAACUUAAGUUAGAAAGCAGUUCAAAAUUCUCAUCUCUGUCUCUCCUAUGCUGGGAGUAUCUCCCUCCCUCAUUCCUCUUUCCUAGCCUUGUCCAGAGAUAGUAUUCUUUUUCCAUAGGGAUGAUUCCAGUUUUAACUGCUUGAUCUCCUCCUAUGAGUUUCUUGUGACUGUUCUAGUGACUUAUGUUCAUUUUUAGUGGAGCAGCAUGAUGAAUCUGCUUUCUCUAGAAAUUGGAAAUGGGACUGGAAAAUGAUAUGAGCCAUCUCAUGCUCUAAAAUGUAAAAACAUUUUAGAGGAUUUAUGCAUUUAAUGUGUUUGCAUUCCUCUGCAGAUGUAGUUAAAUAUCAGAGAUAGCUGAUGGUUAUCCCUGCUACUAAAUAUUUCUCUUAAAUUGUACAGUUAGUAGUCAGGGCUUAUAUGCUUUGGAUAUUGCAUUCUAUUUUCAAUGUUUCUUUCACAGUCUUUUCCACACUUUGUAAUUGUGAGAGAUUUCCUCUGAAAAAAAAAAAAAAUAGUAGGUAUGCCAAUGCAAUUUCUUCUUCUCUUUAAAACGAAUGGUGUUUUUUUAAAAUAUAUUUAUAUUUUUUCAAAAUAUUGAGGCUGUCACUAAAAGAGUUAAGCACCCCUAGGACUAUAAUGCUUGCCCAGACAAAUGCACAUUCCUGUCUGUAAAGACCUAGCUGGAAUGUCUAGCAUCAGAAUUUAACAUUUUGUGCAGUCAAUUCUAUUUCACAUACUAAGCCACAAACCCAUUAUAGUUGAAAACAGUAGAAGGUCUGUUUUAAAUUAGGUGACGCAAAUACAGUAGUAACAGAAACCAUGGAAAAAACACAGAUGUAUAGAAUAUAUGUACAAGCAAGGCAGCCAAGUAUGAAAGGCAGGUAUCAGUUAAAAUGCUUUCUGAAGGAUGAAGUUACAUUUCAGCAAAUAGUAUGAAAAAAAAAAAGCAAUAUAUUAAUUGAACAAAAAGGCAACAAUGUAUGCUUCUCAUCUCCUGAAGUUCUAUAGAACAUGAAAGAAACAGGUAAUCCCCAACAAGUCUUCUGUGAAGACAUUAUAUGCAAGGAAGAGUUAUCUUCCUUGGAAUGCACAUCAGCAAGAGAGCCCAAUAUGAACUGCUAAAACAAGUAACCUAGUCUCAUGUGAAACAUGUUGAUUUAGCAUGAAUAAAACAGUCACAGUUGGAGUGCCCAAAACUGCUCAUUUUAACCCCUGUAUCUAGUUCGUAUAUUCUUAUUUCCUGAUGUUUCUCCUUAAGAAUUAUUUUACCUCAAUCAAUUAAGUUUUUAAUUUCUCCCCUAUUUUUCUAAAUGGUAUUUUCUUCUCCAUUAUGUAAUACACAAUACACGUUCAAAAAACAAUUUUCAUAGAAAUUACUCUCACAGAUUUGUCAAAUAAAUGUGACAAUUUGGAAUGCAGUUUUUUUUCCUAAAAUUGUUGUGAUAGACUCUUAUGAUAUAGUACUAAAAGUCAGAGUAGGAGAGGCAAUGGUAUUCUUAAAACUUGUAGACUUGGAUAUAACAAAGCUAUUUCCUCUUCAGAUGCAACUGUAGCAUAUCACAUAUGUAGCCUGUAUGCACUGUUUAUUCUUUUUACUAAAAUAAAAAGUCUGACUGAGACUAGAAAUUAAAAUUAGUCUUUGUUGUUGAAAAGAACAAUAAAAGUAUAAAAACUAGCCCUUUACACAGUCAGCCCAUAAUUCAGGAAUGGAAGUCUGUAGCAUACAAUGGGACUGUCAGAAUAAUUAAAUCAAUUUUUAUCUUAUGUCACUUUUGUAAUGUCUUUGCUUUCAGUUUCUUAAUGGCUGUCUCAAACUCUAACAGCUGGGAUAACUUGGGAAUGGCAGGAAGAGAUUUUUUAUUUAAUAUAUCAACCAUUCAGUGUUGUCAUAUUCAGACAUACUGUAUAACUAAUAAAUGCCUUCCCAGUGGCACUUGAAAAACAUUGAAACUAGAACAGAUUUGAAUAAUUUUUUUUCCCCCAAACUCAGGGAAAAACAAUCUUGCAUCCCAAUAUUUUCUAACUGAUUUCUAAAGUAAUUAAACACAUACUUCUCAGUGAAAAAAAUUAAUGAGAUUUAACUUCGAAGAAAUGUCUUUAGCUCCAAUGUCUUUUGGAAUCCUCAUUUAGAUUUUUACUUCCCCUGCACUUAUACUUUCUGCAUAUCUUCAUUUAAAUGAAGAUGAAGACUAAAUCUAAGGGGGUUAGAGUAUUAUCAUCUACACAUUUGUAAACCGUGCACACAUUUAGCGUAAAUUUCAAUAUAUACAGACUAAUACAGGUAUUGGGAAUCUGUUGCAUGACUUUCUCCUUCACACCUGAAGGAUUCAGAAGAAUAAGAUGCAAGUCCAAACUGUAAAUUGUGUUCUACUUUGUCAAUUUACAAAAGAUCUGCUGUAUGUAAGAAAAGUAUCCAACACAACAAAUUUUGGGUAAUGACAACCAGAUCACAGUAGGCUGAGAAUUUUUAAUACAUUUUGAAUGUAUGCCCCAUAACAAGAAUUAUUUAUAAAAAUAACAAUAAGAAAACACCAAGCAGUAUUUAUCAUCAGCUUAUCUGUAAAGCAUGAGCAUUCAGUGUGAAAGCUUUCUCCUAAAGACCCUGAGCAUUUGUUUCAAAAGAUGCAUUCAAAAUAAA
Non-coding RNA from Meleagris gallopavo (turkey), 14161 nucleotides. The record is from RefSeq and is a predicted model, not a curated record. NCBI's taxonomy places the organism in Eukaryota, Metazoa, Chordata, Aves, Galliformes, Phasianidae.